RNAcentral lists this ribosomal RNA (253 nucleotides) under uncultured bacterium. Its description in RNAcentral is "partial 16S ribosomal RNA". It matches the Rfam family "Bacterial small subunit ribosomal RNA", at positions 524 to 776 of the family's 1533-position model. The record is from RNAcentral.
UACGGGGGGUGCGAGCGUUGUCCGGAAUCACUGGGCGUAAAGGGCGCGUAGGUGGCGUCGUAAGUCUGUGGUGAAAGCCCGGAGCUCAACUCCGGGUCUGCCGCGGAUACUGCGAGGCUUGAGUGCUGUAGAGGGGGGUAGAAUGCCGGGUGUAGCAGUGAAAUGCGUAGAGAUGUGGAGGAAUACCGAUGGCGAAGGCAGCCUCCUGGGCCAACACUGACGCUCAUGCACGAAAGCGUGGGGAGCAAACAGG